UGACGCCCCACUUCUAAGGGGGUCAUCUAUUUUAGGACUAUUUUAGUCCUAACAUGAUUAACUCUCUUAACCUCUUGAAUUUAAUUACCAUUCAAAAUGUUAUAGCCAGGAUAAGAGUUUUAGCCCUGUUAUAUCUUAUAAAUAGGACUAACUAGGAUAUCACAUUCUCUCCCCUCCUUUAAGCCCUAACGUUUUCAUAAGGCUUAGACUAACAAGUAUUAAAUUAUAUAAGACUCAUCUCGCUAGCUUUAACUGAUAUUUUGGGGGAGUCGCACUCUACCCACAACAUCAACACCAUGAGAGCCUCGCUUUUUUCCUUAUAUAAUCUGGCUUAGUCGAGACUCAUCUCACACUUUCGGCUGAUAAUUGGCUCUGAUAUCAAUUGUGAUACACCACUUCUCAGAAGACCACCCAUCUUAGGACUACUCUAAUCCUAACACACUUAAUUCUCUUAACCUUUUGAGUCUAGUCACCGUCCAAAAUAAUAUAACCAGAUUAAAAAUUUUAGUUCUAUUAUAUCUCACAUAUAGAACUUACUGAAAACUCACAGAGUAUACGUAAAUUUUACACCUACACCAUAUAUGUGCAUGUAGCACUUUUUUUUACUUUACUAACAUAAACUUGCAUUACCAACCGUCCCUAGAGCAAGUGGCAAAAGGCUUUGUGGUUGGUACCCGAGACCCAAUUUCGAAUCCUAGUUGAUUCACAUUUCUAGCUAAAUUUAUUUCUAAAUGAAAUAAACGAAACGGAUAGCAUACUACCUAUCUCUCUCUCAAAAAAAAAAAAAAAAAAAAAAACAUAUCUUGCACUUCAUACACACUGGUUUUCAUUCUCAUCCCCUUACUUUUACAGCCGAAAGAGAUAGGUCUGGACAAAAAAAAAAGGGUAUUAAUUCCGAAUCUAUUGGCUCCUCUAGUUUCCAUUUUUUAAGAAAAGGGCAUCCAAUGCGCGAUUAUAAUCCAUGUAUAAAGUUUUUUUUUUUAAAAAAAACAAUACAUUAUUUACUUUAUUUAUUUAGUAAAUAAAUUUGGCUAUAGAAAUUAAGACAAUACAGCCUCGAAAAGCUGUUUUAUUGCGCUACACUACUAUCGAUAGGCCCAACUGCAGAAACCGAACCAAACAGACUCUAAAUGGUAUUCCAAAUCUGUUGGCUCCCUAUUCUUGAGACAGGACGGAUUGCGUAAUCAGACCAGCUGGCAUUUGAUUCCUUCGUACUACAAAGUAUAUAUCUUAUCUUAUCUCAUUAAGAUCUCUCUUAAACAAAACUACACGUUUUUGAUCACGAAUUAUUUCAAUAACAUCUUCAUUAACAUAAUUCUUCUCGGGUUUACAUGCAUUAUGAACAGCGCAAAAUGUCAACUAAUUUUACCACAAUUCGACAUGCAUAGCCUAACAACAAGUAGUCAAACUCCCCAUUUUUUCCCUCCUCCUAUCUUUUUCACUUCCGUGCAAUUUAUACGUGUUCCAUUAGUUGCCUCCUUUUUAUUUCUUCUUAUGUUGCUUCUUUUGCAACAUGAUCAGGUAAUUGUUACCCAUCCCCGGCCGGUUCCGCGCGCCGCCGAAGAAAUUUGAUCUCUCUUGAAGAAUGAAUGCCUGCACGUCUAAUGGGAGGAAAGCUAAAGGACGGAUUCUGAUCAGAAACGCACUGACAAAAUAAUGAUUGGUGAAUGACUGAGACUACCUGUUCAUUUUUAAUUUGUUAGUACGUCCUUCAUAAAUAAGACCCGCACUUUGAAAUUGAAAACACCAGUGAGGUGGUGAUAAGAUUGCUAUGUACGUGCGUACCUUCUAACUUCUUUCUCCUCUCUUUGUUUCUGCUCUUACACUGGUGGAAUCGCACGGAAGUAUGUGAUGAUGUACGUCCGUGUCUUCGAUACGUAGAGGGGGGAAGUUAUGAGGGGGCCGAAGAGGCGCCGAGAGCUAGGAAGGCAAGGCACAGCAUCAAGCCUAAGGGGAUUAGGAGGAAGAGCGACGGCGGCGGCGGUAGCGGCGGAAGCACAAGCGGGAGGAAAACGAGGAACGCCGCGAGCACCACCAGCAACACCAGUGCACCCUCAUUAGCCAUCAAAAUGCUUCAUAAAUUUCAUCAACAAGAAACCCAGGAGAGCCUCAUCAAUAUGUUCAUAUACACCAGAUGCCAAAUUAGAAUACAGAGCUCUCUAUGUAUUCGUUCACUUGUGUCAUGUAAAUGUGAUAUAUAUACAUGGCAACCCUAAAGCAGUCACGUGCCUUGCAUGGGCCCGCCUGUUUGAUAUCGAGGCUUAUUAUACCAGUAAGAGAAAUAAAAUUAUAACGAAAUUAUAUUGAAAUAUACUUCUCUAUUUUUUUUCGUGAGACUGUAAAAUUUAUAUUAUAAUUGAUUUAUGUUGAUUUGCAGAACUUGAUAUUACAUACGAAAGAGUAAAAAAUUUUUAUUUUUUGACUGCACGUAUUGUAAGUUUUCGACAAUCUGAAAUAAAGUUGUGAAUGAAUGAGACAACACUAAAUGAGAAUCUUGGGAUAAAAAGAAGGGGGGAAUCUUAGUGUUGGAGAGAAAAUGGUUCUAUGAAGUUUUGUGGUUAAUUUCAGAAUAAAAGUGAAAAAAAAAAAGGAACCAUUGGAAAUCAUUAAACAGAUCUAAAUGGUUAUUCCAGGUGUGACCAGUUAUGUUCUUUCCAGUUGUGAUCAGAGGUCAAAUUGGUAUGCAUAAUAUAUUAAUAUGUAUGUUUUAUACAUGUAGAAUCUAUUAUCUUUGAAUUGACUCAUAGAAUUUGCUAAGAUUUAUAUAUAGAGCACACAAAAGAGCGAUCCCUCUUCUUUAUUAUUUUCUUAUAUUUUCAAAUGAAAAUUUUCACUAAUAAAAGAUUAACUAUCAAUCUAUGUUAAGAUUAUAGUUCGCCCUAUGCCUCGAUAGUUUUCUUAACUAUACACAUCCACCAUUUAAUGUCGCAAAUUUUUGUUAUUACAUGGUACGACUGAUUUGAUCUCUACUAAAUAUAUCGAUACGACCAAUUUAGCAUUAAAGUUUUUGAAAAAAACGUGACUCAACCAAGUUGAGUUGAAUAUUUCAUUGAGUUCGGCAACUUUUAUAACCGGUGCGAGAAAUUUUUAAAUGGUCAUAAUUUUUCGCUCGAAUAUUUGAUUUCACCGUAUGACUCUAAUUAGAGAAACACUUUUUGAUAUUUAUGCGUUAAAUACCAAAACCAUUCCAGUCAAGUUUGGAACCCUGCUUCAAUUAUUUGGUCUCCGUUCUUCACAUUUUUAGGUUAUUUUCGAAAAGUUCUAUAAUUUUUAAUUUUUAGUCCGAUUAUUUGAUUAUUUCUAAUCUGAUUAGAUUUCCGGCAUCGCCACUAUUCUUUAGAGUUGAUUAGUAAUAUAUUCGUCUUUAUAAAAGAAGUGAUUCUUUGUGUAUAGAUUAUUUUUUCCCGUUCUUGUACUUCUUAUCUCUCAAUGCGGCUUAAACAUGUGUCACAUGCCAACGAAAAUAAUAAUAUACUCGCUAGACAGUCAUUUAUUUUGGCUAAUCAAGCGUUAUUUAUUGCUUGGAUAUUCACAAAUACCCGAGCCUCAAACAUAAAUAAUGAAAUCGAAAUAACAACAUCAGCAUUAACACUGACCGUUCCUACAGCAAGCGGCAAAAGACUUGAUGGUUGGCACCUGAGGUAUCAAGUUCGAAUCCUAAUUAAUUCACAUUUCCAACUAAGUUUAUUUCUAAAUAAAAUAAACGAAGCGGAUAGUGUACUAUCUAUCUCUUAAAAAAAAAAAAAAAAACAACAACAACAACAGAUCGGCCACCCCGGCCAUUCUUAGCACAAGUGGCAAAGAAUUUGAUGGUUGAUACUUAGAUCUCAAAUUCAAAUCCUAAUUGUUUCAUAUUUUUAACUAAAUUUUUUUCUAAAUAAAAUAAAUAGAACGCCUAUCUCUUUAAAAAACAACAACAACAACAACAGCAGCUGCAGCAACAGCACCGUGCGUGUGCAGUACUGUCCUAUUUUGAAGGUUCAAUGCACCCAAUAUAUAAUGCGAGUGUUUUCUAAAAGCAAGCAAGUUGUGGUCUCACCGUCUCAGUAGGGCUUUUCGCACGCCUCCCGAAGCGCUUUUCCCAAAAGCCCUAACAUUUGCUUGGAAACCGUAACACCUCUUAUUAUUAUUAUUAUUAUUAUUAUUAUUAUUAUUCCUUCUGCUGCUGGUAUCCUAAUGGUGGUUUUCAUUUUUCCAAGGAGGAAAAAAAAAUAAAUUACAAAAAAUCUCUAUAUAAAUAUUUAUUUUUUAUUUUUUUUUCUGAUUUUAAAAUUUUAUUUUUUGUUUCUUAAAAAUUUUUAGAAAUAUUUUUAGAGAAGCACGGUGUUAAUGAAGAGUAAAAAUUGUUUAUUAAAAAAAUAAUUUUUCAAUAUAUUUUUAUUAUCUUAAAGGAUAUUUUCUGUAUAAAACUAUAAAUUAUAAAAAUUUGACGGAAUAGUAAUGAAAAGCUGACGUAGGGGGGCUAAAUAUAAUAAUUUGAAAUGUUAAGAAAGUAAAAUAUAGAUUUUUAAAAGUUUGAAAAGAAAAAUAAAAAAAUGAAUAUUUACUUGAGAGUUUUCUAUAAUUUAGCAAAAAAAAAAAUGCUAAUUGCGAAUUAUUGUUUAAAAUAUAAAAUUAUAAUUAUUUUAGGCUUUGAUGCAUUAAGAAUAUUAAAUCCGUAUGGUCUAAAUGAUUGAUUGUUCAUAAAGUAAACUACAACUUUUAAAACUUGGUCGAAAUUUAAUAGUUUGAGAAUUUUUGUUUCUACGUCCCGUUUUCUUUUUAUGGCCCACCAUAUUUUAUUAUUUUUUUUUUAGAGAUAGAUAGUAUGCUACCACUUCGUAUAUUUCAUUUAAAAAUAAAUUUAGCUGAAAAUGUGAAUCAACUAGGAUUCGAAUUUAGAAUUUCGGAUACCAACCACCAAGUCCUUUGACACUUUGCUCUAGGGACGGUCGGUUAUAUUUAUAUAUAUUCACAUUUGAUUAAAAUACAGUACUCUCCUAUCAACAUACUUUUUCAAUAGUGUUAUAAAUUCGCAGAAUUAAGUAUGACAACAUUAAGAUUUUUCUAGAGCUUCUUAUAAUCAUUAUUCUGAAAAGUCCAACCGGUAAAAAGAGAAUACGCAAUACGCUUAAAACAUACAGAUACUACACCCAUAUAUUUCUUGAUUCCGACUUAGCCCAAGCUGUGAGUUACGUGCGUGAUAUUUUGAGCUUCAAAAUUUUAACUUCUUAUGACUUUUGCUCGACCUUUGUAAAUUAACACAACUAGUUUCUAUAAUACAAUAGUUAUUGAAUGAAUGGUGGGGUGUAGCUACUUUGAAAGUAAUGGUGUGAUAAUAAUUAAAAAGUUAUAUCAUUAUUAGAUUAACAAUAAAUCAUCAUUCAGCCAAUUAAAUUAUACUGUAAAAUAUAUUUUUUAAAAAAAUAUAUAUUUACUUGAAAAAAUGAAACACUAAUUUUUUUUUCUUUUUUUUUAAAGCUUGACCUGGUUUCCUUAAGCCAGCUAAUGCAAAGGUACAUACGGGAAAGCCACAAAAACAGUACUAGAUAGUAGAGCACACAUGCUUGUGUUUAUCUCACAGGACACUUAAUUUGUUCUUUUGAUACAGAUGCAUUGAACCUUUCUUGGUACACCUCUCUCUCAUCUUUGGCCCAAACCCCAGCUGGUUUUAAUGACCACAUUUCAAGGACUUGAAUAUAUAUAUAUAUAUAUAUAGAGAGAGAGAGUUGAGCUAGAAUACUCUCAACGCACCAAUGAGGUGGUGCUUUUGAAUUUUUAACCAUUCGAUGGAGGAAUGUAAGAUUGUGAUGAUGGUGGUAGGUGGUAGUAGGUGGUGAUAGGUGGAAUAGUAUUUGAUCCAAAGGCUAUUAAUAAUGAAGGAGUAGAUCCAAGGGUUAGAAAUCUAAAAGCACCAAUGGGGUGAUACUUUUAAAAGUAUUCUAGCUCAAUUAUAUAUAUAUAUAUACAGAGUCCGGCUGCAAUACUAUCGAUAGCACCAAGCGUUUGAUGCUAUCAAGUUUUUCGCCGUUAGAUUUAACCUUUUGACUAUUUUACCCGUUAGAUUAUACUAUCAAACCAAUAACUCACUCAACCCUAGGGGACCCAUAUCAUUCUAACCGUACAUUGUUUUAAUCCAAAUGCUGAAAACCUAAUAGCACCAAUAGCUUGGUGCUAUUGAUAGUAUUCCAGUCUAGUUCUAUAUAUAGAGUCCGGCUACGAUACUAUCGCUAGCACCAAGCGUUUGAUGCUAUCAAUAGAAUUAAGCUAAAAUACUUUUAAAAGUAUCACCCCCUUGGUGCUUCUAGGUUUCUAGCCCUUGAAUCUACUCCUUGAUUACUAAUAAUCAUUGGAUUAAACACUAUUUCACCUACCACCGCCUACCACCACCUACUACCAAUAUCCUAACCUUACAUUUCUCCAUCCAAGGGUUGAAAACUCAAAAGCACCAACCUCUUGGUGCUCUUGGUGCUUUUGAGAGUAUUCUAGCUGAACUAUAUAUAUAUAUAUAUAUAUAUAUAUAUAGUACGUCUUUCGUACUUUCGAAAGUAUAUAUGGAAACCUCCGUGCUUAUAAGUUGUUUUCGAUGAUAUGAUAUCCGAUUCGACGAUCAGCUCCGUUAAGUAUAAUCUACCUUAUUGGAACUAUCUAGAAACCAAAUUUUAUAAUUUGUUGACAUCAUUUACCAAGCGAUCAAAAAGUCUCAAAAAUGACUAUUUUAAUGGCCGAUAUGGUACGUUUUUAAGUUCAACGGUGUAUAAGUAUCCAAAUUACAUAAAAUAUUCUACUUAAUAUUAAUAGCAAGAUUAAUACUUUCAAUUUGAAUUUUGAGUCAUUUAUCACUAUUUUUUAUGAGAUUUUUAUUUUCAGCUGUUCAUUUUAAGGCUACUCGUUUACUAGACAAACGAAAUCAAAAAAUUAUGAAAUUUGGUGUCUAGAUAGUUACAAUAGCGUAGAUCAUGUUUAACGGAACCGAUCGCCGAAUCGGAUGUCCCAUCAUCGAAAAUAACUUACAAGCACGAAGGCCUCCGUACUUUCAAAAGCAUAGGAGCUAUAUAGUAGGUUUUGUGUGUUAUUAGGAGUAUGAAGGCCUCUGUGCUCCUAAACUGUUUUCAAUGAUGAAGUUUUCAAAUCGACAAUCGACUCUCUUAGACUUGAUCUAGCGUAUUUAAAGUAUCUAGAAAAUAAAUUUUGCGAUUUUUCGAUAUCAUUUAUACUAGCGAUCGAAAAGGUUCAAAAUCAAUAAUUUUUAAUGGUUGAUAUAUAUCGUUCACAAGUUUAAUGGUGCAGAAGUAUUCAAAUCACAUGAAGUUUUGAUAAAAAAAAUUUUGUACUAUUUAUUGCAACAUCAAUAUUUCUGAUCAAAAAUUUUAAUACUAUAUUACCACUUUUUGUAAAAUUUUUAUUUUCAGCCGUUGAUUUUGAACCUUUUCAAUCACUAGUUAAAUGAUAUCGAAAAACUGCAAAAAAUAUUUUCUACGUAGUUCAAAUACGCUAGAUCAAGUCUAACGGAGCCGAUCGUCGAUUCGAAAGCUCCAUCAUCGAAAAUAACUCAAGAGCACGGAGACCUCCGUGCUUCUAAUAGUACAUAAAACCUACUCUCUAUGUAUAUAUAUUAUUUUCUACAUAAAAGAUUUCAAAGACCGGAAAUUAUUAAAAGCACUGUUAUGUCCACCUUCGAAGGCUUUCUUAAAAGUCGUCAUUGAUUUGGCAUUCAUGCAUUGUAUAGCUUGCUCAGAUUGAUUAUAAGUACGGUGUACGUGGAUCAGCAGUGCUAAUUAAUUAUUUCAAAAAGUACAUGCUAAUAAAAAUAACGUAUUCAUCGCACUUAAAAAGUUAAGUCAUAAUAUUUACAGAUUUCGAUGUAACUUAAUUUUUCUGAAUGUUAGAUUUAUUGUUGACUCUCUUUUCUUUAUUAUGAACCGUAAUCAUACUCAACCUAUCAGGGUAAACACAACUCAACUUAUUAGCUCUCUAGAUCUACUGUGAUGCAUGUGGUUGAGGUAAUUUGGGGAGAGAAGUGGAGUUUCAACUUAUGUGCAUGACAUUUUUUUUAAAAAUUUGUUUUGAUAUAAGCGCGAUAUUAAAAAUUUGGUGACUUAAUUAAUGUGAGACAAAUACUUUUACCUCCGACGGCGUCACUGAUAGUUUAAGUUCUUAAUUUCCUGAUUAAGUUUAAUGAAUAAAUUAAGGGAUAUCCUAACCCAAUUGUUGUUUUAAAAUAGAAAUGCCACUCUGUAAUCCCCUACAAAUUGCUAGUAUAAAAUUUUUGGUUCAUCUCCCCUUCUCCAAGUAGGGAAUGUGUAUUGUUUGGCUCGAGAUAUGAUUUUUUUUUUUUUAUAUCGAAUAUUUAUUGUGCAUGUUUUUAGGAUGUCCCUUUCUAAGACACGUAAUGUUGAAACCUGUUUGUCACGAGGGUUAUCACUAACUUUAUUCUAAUCCUAGUGUUUAAUUAGCCAUGCAUAGUAUAUAUAUUACUAUUAUUAUUAUUUGAAGUGCUUUAUUCAAGUACUAUAUCUCUACUAUUGCUUUGUAAAUUUGCACUAUUCAAAUACGAUCGACCAUUUAUGAUUACUCUUUGAAAAAUAUGACACAACAUGAUCAAAUGAAUAAUAUAAAACAAAUAGAAAACAAAGUAAUUUUUUGAGCUUAUCGGAUAAAUUACGUGUGUAUAUACACAUAUAUACAUAUCGACAAUCUUAGAUACGAUUGAACAUAUUAAUACAUGAGAAAGAACACAACAUUCAAGAAUCAUAGUCUCUGCAGGGCAGAUGUGCAUUUGGUAUUUACAACUUAUUCGUCAUGGCGAGAAUAAUGACUGAUCCAGAAGUGGCGGCAGGGAUGACGAUGUCGUCCGAUAUCGAUCUCAGGCCAGGGAUAAACCUCUUAACCAAAAGAGUAAGGACGGGAGCACCAAAGAUGAAGAGGAGAGGAUCUCUCGCGCCCUGGCCGAUGAAGAAACUGUCGAAUCCGAUGACUGAGGUGAUGAUCUUUUCAAAUUCUUCUUUGGUUAGAUUUUUCUUAUCGUUAGGAUGAUUGGCCUGCAAAAGGUGGAAAUUUUAUCAAUAACUUUACACUAUUUUUCGGCCAUCAGUAUCAGUUAAUAUCAUUUAUCGUCAAUAACAAUAUAAUCAUUAUUCAUUAAUGAUUGAUAAAAUAUAAAAUUGACGAAUCUCGAGUACUUUCUUAAAGCCACGUUAUUUUCCUUGUAGAAAACUCCUUUGAAAAUUAAAAUUUUUUAUUAGUCCAACUUCAAUAAUCAAUCAAGAUACAUAAAGUUGGAGAACGUCGAGCAAUUUCGUAGCGCCAUGCAAUCGUAGUUUGCAAAAAUCUCUUUUCAAAAUUUGAAAAUUUUGAUCAGUCCAACAUUAAGUUCACAAAUAUAACCAAUUACAUGAAGUAAUAAUUAUGAUUAAGCAUUAAUUACUACUUAAAUAGCCCAUUCUUUUGACUUUUCAAGAAAACAUAAUUUUCAUUGGUUACAAUUAAUGCUCACAUUUUCUCAAAGAUAAAAAGGAUAAUCAAAUACUACACGAGUUUCCUAGCUAUAUAUAUAUAUAUAAGGGCUAAACAAACAAAAAAUAAAUAAGAAAUUGCUAAUCCAUAAAUCAACAAGGAGUAACAUAAUUUAUCAAUUAUAUAACUUACUGUAUGCAUAGCUGUAUUACCAAAAAAAAUUGUCUAGAGAAUUUUUUUAAAAAAAAAUUUAGUUUAAGAGGAAAUUUGUCUAGAAAAUGAAUCACACGAUUUGUAAAUAAGGUUUGAAAUAAAUCAAUGGGUGUGAAUUCACAACUAAAUAGUGUACUUCUAAGUCAACAUUAAUCCUUACUAGUUCGAUCAGGGUUUUAUUCAUAAAUAAGCCUUUAUUUUUUGUCAUGCAAUUUUGUAUCAGUAGUUAAGCUAUGAAACACAAAUUCUAGCAUGCAUUCACACAAUGACAUCAUUUAACCAAAAAUGAUAGAUUUUGUGUACACAAAUGAUGGGAUUUUUUUCUUUCUUUUUUCUUUUUUUUUUUUUUAUUUGAAGUACAAAUGUGAUGUUUCUUUGCCACAUUAAAACCAUAUGGCGUCCAACGUGACGGAGAAUAUAUAUAUCUUUCAUUUACAUUGCGAAAAGACUAUAUUACGACUAAAAUUUUUUACUUUACUUAGAACUGUGGCCUAUUUUAUCCCUACUUUUUAUUUCAUCAUCUAGAGCUGUGUUUACGACUGUAAAUUUAAGUCCAUUCGCAAUGACGCAAAAAACUUAAUUUGCUUUUUUAUAUAUUUAUAAAUCUCACACAUAUACAAAUUUACGAUAAGGAAAUAAGCAACAAGAACUCUCACCUUGAAUGCUUUUUCUAGCUUGUCUUUUGAUGGUAUCUUGAAUUGCAUGGACCCUUUGUCUAGACUAAAUUUUCUGGAGGUAAGAGGGGGGGAAAAAAAAAGUUAUUUUCAAAGUUUUAUAUUAGAAAGAAAAAGUUACAAAAACUAGAAAAUUCUUUUUGUGAUUUUCUAAUUAAUCGGUUAUGGAUAAAUUGCACUACUAGUCUCUGAACUGUAAAUCGAGUCUAAAAAAAUUUAAAUUGGUAUUUGUUAGUAAAGCUUUCAUUUUACUCGCCAAUUAAACUUUCAAUACUAUUUCUAUUUAGUUCUUACAUUACAAACUUUAAAACAAAAAACAAAAAGAAAAGCUUACACCUUGCUUAUAUAAAAAGAGAUUGAAUUUUUGGUAAAUUGUGGAGAUAAAAAUUAGAGAUUAUAUAUAAGAAGUGAGAUGGAACUUACUCGAUCAUCUCGAAAAUUGCAUGGUAAAAUUCAUCAAACGUCUUUAUUUCUUUACCCUCGCUACCCUCGAAAAAGGUGGCGUAAUUGUUUUUUACGAAUUCAAGUGCUUCGUUAGAUGCUGCUGCAGCAGUUGAUUGAGCCCCCACCUCCCCUAUACAUUGACACCAAAAAAAAAAAAAAAAACAAAAAAAAGAAGUUACCAUUAUUAAGAAAAAUAAUUAACGAAAACACAAUCAAAUUAACUGCCUGAGAAUGGUAACUAGGGGUGUCAACGAGCCGAACACGAGCGAGCUAAGGUCGGCUCGUGUUCGACUCGUUUGAUAAAUGAGCCGAACACGAGCUGGCUCGUUAAAGUAUCGAGCCGAAAUAUUCGGCUUGUGUUUGGCUCGUUUAUUAACGAGCUGAACACGAGCCGAAUGCGAGGUGACUUAUGAAUAAGAAUUUAACAUGAUUAGAAAGAAUAUAUAUAGGAAAUAAAUUUAUAAGAUCUUAUCCGUUAGGCUUUGAUCUAAUGAUUGAAAUUUUACAUAUAAAUGAAUUAUUUUAUAAUUGAAUUGGGCUUUUUAUUUAGAUUGGGUUAAAAAUUAAAUAAUAAAAAUUUAUAUUAUAUACAUAUAUAAUUAUUAAUUUGUAUAUAUAAAUAUAAAAUAUAUAUAUUCGAGCUGUUAUCGAGCCGAACACGAGCAAGCUAAUCUUAGCUAGUGUUCGGCUUGUUUAUUAAACUAGCUGAAAUUUUCAGCUCGUGCUCGGCUCGUUUACUACAUGAGUGAUUCGAUCUCGAGCUCAUUUCGAGCCGAACACGAGCUGGCUCGCGAACUGCGAGCUGGAUUGCCACCCCUAAUGGUAACUAGGGAUGCAAAUGGAGCGGAUCCGGAGCAGGAGGGUUUAGAGAUGUGACAUAUCGAUUGAAACCGAACCAAUCCAAAAUUUUGAACCUACAGGUUUAGAUCUAAUAAUCGCCAUCGAUUCUUCAAACUCUUGUUCGAUUUAAUUUUGCCAUAUUCACAAAUUUAAUAAUGGAGGAAGGAAACUAAACAGAGAUCAACAAUUGAACAAAUGAUGUUUCAACCUAUUAUUAAACUAGCACAUGACAAUUCUUCAAGUAAUUUGGUCACAAACUUAACAUUAAAGAGAACUCAGCUAAUUGAUAACAAUAACGUACUAAUUAAACACAAUCUUUUUCUAUCUUUCGUGUAACCUUCGUUCAUAUUUUGUGGCAUAUAAUAUUUAUACCUAUUAUUUUGCCGUCUCUUUUGCUACCUCAAUAACCUUUUUAAAUUAGAUCAUCCUUUGGGUAUAUAACAUCAAUAACACCCCUCUUUAAUUACUAUAUAUUGGUUAAUUAAACAUUAUAAAAUUAAACUGAAAAGAAAAAGGAGAGAGAGAGAGUGAGAGAGAGAGCUUGCCUUUCUUGGACUUGACCUGGCCCAUUUUUUUUUCCUUGUAACUUGAGGAGGGGAUGGUUGUUGUGUUAAGAUAAUGAAUGGUGAUCAUCAACACAUAUAACUGUAAAUAUAUAAAGGCUCAUGUACAAAGAUAUGUAUUCUUUAGCUAUGGAAUUGCUCUCAUAGGAAGCAAAAGUUCACAGCACUAAGAACGCCAAGCACAUAAACUGAUUCCAUAACUAAAGAAGAAGCAUUGUUGAGACUAGUUCCUGCACAAUGGCUCCAAGCAUUUGAGAUGUUCCCGAGUUCCCAAGGAAAUUAAAACCAUCCAUGCUAAUAAUAAAAACAGCAGUAUUUCUGACGACUUAGCUUAUUGAUGAUAUUAAUAACUUGUCGAGUACGAAUCAUCGAAAUAAUUCAAAGUUUAUCAGAUAAUAUCUUUAUAAUACUACGUUCUUAGUCUAAUAUUAUGUACUAUACUAUAUUUGGUAAUUCCGUGAUACCAAAGGAAAUUAGAAACAUAUCCUUUUUUUAAUUUAUUUGAAUCUAAUAUAAAAAAGUUUAAUAAAUUUUAUAAUAAGGUCGUUGUAGUAUAGUGGUCAGUAUUUCCGCCUGUCACGCGGACGACCCGGGUUCGAUCCCCGGCAACGGCGAUUUAUUUUUUUUUUUUUCCACUCAUUUAAUGGUUAUUUUAUAGAAAAAAUUCCUUUAUAUAUUAAUUUUCAAUCAUUUAAUUAUUAUUGAAUUAUUUUUAUGUAAUAUUUUUUUUACUUAUUUAAUUAUUAUUUUAUAGAAAACGAAAAUUUUGGCUAAUAUUUAUAUAUAUUUACUAACAUUUUGGCACUGAAGAUCUUUAAUUGGAUGGAUGAUAUAAUUUAUGUCUAAAAGCUACUACUUGUGAGUUAAAUAAUAAUUAUAGUCGCAAUAUCAAUACCAAGCUUUUAAUACUAUCAAGUUUUCUGUCGUUAAUUAUUUCCGCCCAUUAGAUUAUACUAUUCAGCCAAUUGCCCACUCAACCCUAGUAGACUACUAUUAUUGUAAUCGGGAACGAUUACCAUCCUAACCGUACAUUUUUUCAUCCAACGAUCGAAAACUUAAUAGUACCAGGCACUUUGUACUAUCAAUAGUAUAGUAGCAUAAUUAUAAUUUUGCUAUGUCCACACAUAUUUACUUGUAGGUAAAAUUAUAACAUUUGUGCGAUUUAAAAAAUUAGUGAGAUACUCACGUGAUAAAUAUUGGAUGGCAUAGAUGCCACAUUGUUUCACCUAAAUUUUUUUUUUUUGCAGUUCUAUGUAUCUUAUACCAUUUGAGAGGUAUGUCAUGCUUUUUACAAUAAACAAGAGUAACUAAAAAGAAUACGUAAAUGUCCCAAAUUACAAAACUAGUAAAUGAGCAAUUUUUUUUAUGGUUAAAUUUUUCAUAAACACUUUAGUAGUCAAAGCUACCGUUUGAAAGUGAAAAGUCAAAAAGAGAUAAAUUUUGUGAGUUCCCUAAACUUGACUUUGCUACUCAUUCCACUAAAGCUCGGAUAACUAAUUUUCUUAUAAAGCAAGUAAAUGGACUUUUUUUUUAGUUAAAAUUUUCAUAAAGCAAGUCCGUAGUGUUAGGUUUCAUGAUCUCACAUCGAAAUAAAUAUCGAUGCUUACAAUUUUCUUAAAGUUUUGAAUUCAAUUUCUAAGAUCCAUAAAAACAAAUAGAUCCAAAAUCUAUAACGAACGCGGAACCAAACAAACUUUAACUUUUCUUGUAAAACAAAACGUUCAUAAAUUCAGCAGUCUUCUUCUGUCCGCAACCACAGUUUCAAAAACUCGGGCGAGCGUCUUUCUAAGACGUCUUAUAUCGAGGGUGACAUUUUGCCCUUCCAAAUACACCUGCUUGGUCACGUCCCACGCCUUCUUGCCCUGCACCCUCUCCGGAUCCCUCACCACCACAUCAUCCGCCCCGUACUUCCUGCUCAACGAGCUCUCCCUCGGGAGCACCUCGUACUCGGCGUACCGCAGCCCCGCGCGCACCGCCGGAUCGCGGUAGCAAGUGUCGGCGACGUUCUUCACUCCGAGCGGUAUAACUUGAAUGAACGUCGCGCCGGGCCGCAUGAACAGAAAGUGCGUCAGCGCGGCACCAUGCACGCCCAUCAUCGCAUCGCACCUGCUCAGGGAUGCGUAGACUCUCGCCAUAGGCAUCCUGUCUGUCGGCCGCAGCACCUCCACGUCGAACCCGACCGCCCUCGCCAGCUGCACCACCUCCCCCUCGUUCUCCACCACCCUCGUCGCUCCCCGCGACACCACGACCAGCUUCGGCCGCCGCGGGGGCUUCGUUUCUUUCGGCUCGUUAUACGCUUCCUCGAGCAUGUGCUGGAAGGUUUGCAUGCUCAUCGUCUCGUCGGAGAGCUUCGCGGGGUCGAUGGCGAGGGUGCCGUGGAAGCGGAGCCCCGCGACAGCCCCCGGGAAGCAGUGGGUCCUCGUGUUGUUGGAGAAGUCGAUCGGAGGGUAGUCGGAGAUGCCGGCGAGGAUCUCCCGGUACUUGAUGAACCACCAGUGGUGGUAGUUGAGGACGACGAGAACUACGCGGCGGCGGAGGCGGUGGGACGUGAUGUAGAGCGGGAGGAUUGCGUCGUUGAAGGCGUGGAAUACGUUGCCCGUGUAUCCGCCGGCCGAGAAGAAGAUGGCGGGGACGUCAUGGCGGACGUCGCACGGGUGCGGAGCGUCUUGCGGGGCAGCGGCCCGGAGUCGAAGCUCGGAAAUCCUGUCCAUGAUGAUCCCUUCCCAUUUUCGCGGGUAAGGUCGAAUCUUUUCUUCUGCGCUGCUGUUGCGAUUGAUCGUCACGUUACUAGGCGGAUAAAGGACGACCGACGAAGCGUGCGAAUGCGUUCGAACGUCCCCUGACAUGAAGCAAAUGUCGCUGUGGUAGCUCGUUCGGUCGCAGCAAAUGGAAGAGUUGUUGGAGAGGAAAGAGCAAGGAGAAUGUCUGUGCCAACUGUGGCUGGUGUAAUUAUUAUAGAAUGCUAUCUCUUUAUCUCCGAAGAAGCUGAGAGAAGAGGACGAGGUCGAGAGGAAGCGGACCGCAAAAAAGAAGCAGAGUGUCGAGAAGAGGGACAAGAAGAAGAAGAGAUGGAGGGAGCUUUGCUUGGCCUUCUUGCUCUCUUCUCUACCCUUGGGGAUGGGUUGGUCAUGUUGUUUACCACAUCUUUGACCCAUCCUUGCGUAGGCUCUUCUUCCUCUCUAUGUUCCCUGAUUCAAGCCUUCACUUUUGGAGAAUUUUGGAGUGCCAGAAAAGAAGUUACCACUUACUAGAGAGAGAAAGAGAGAGAGAGAGAGAUGUGAUGAGAAAUUCUCCUCCCUGAUUGCUAGGGUGUAAAUGGGGAAUUGGUAAAAUGGGAAAAAGUUUGAAUGAAUAAAGUAAUUACAUCCUUGCCUAAAUUGUGUGACAGAGUGUGAACAUAAUUGAACGCUGGAGUUGUUAGGCUGUAAAUGAUACAAUGAAAACUGAUAUUCUUUUUUUCUCUUUUCUCUUGGGGAGUGAAAUGCAACAACGGACUUGGUAGCUUCUCUAAUUAGUACAACUAAAGAGAGAGUGUGUAAAGUAUGGGAUGUCAUUGCCAAAGUUUGUGAGGACAACUCACCGCAAAACGCAAUUCUUAAAUGAAGUAAAUUACACCUUGCCUUUUGUGGUUAUGGUUAAAAGGGGCAAACACUCCUCUUGUAAACAUAAUCUAAUUUACUUGGUAUUGUUAUAUAUUGGGACAUGCAUAAAGUCAAACAGUUGGUAAAACUCUCAACCACAAUGGUGUUUAAUGGUCACCAAUGAUGAUUUUCCUCAAACAGGAUAGUGAGAAAAAAAAAAAAAUUGUUCUCUCUUCCCGCACUGCACAAAACAGCAGCAACUAGGGCAACUCUAGGAAAAUAAUGGCGUUUUCAUUUACUAAUCUAGCACUGCUAAAAUGCAAAAAAACCCACUGGACAUGCAAAUAUGCAAAAUACUAUAAUGUGCUUAAUUUGUUUGUCCCUUCCUAUUUCUUAAUCUGGUAAGAAAUCCAGCAUAUAAAGUACUAUUUAUGUAUCACAAAAAUAAAUAUAAAUCUUAAAUAUAACGCCCCAAUAAUCUCACGCUUGUCAUAAUAACUGGAUUUAAAUAUUUUAGACCGGUGAUUUGAACCCAACGAGUUAUUAUUGCUGGCGAGUGGAUCGUUAUAUUUGAUAUCAGAGUCCGAUAAUCAAUCGGUGGUGUGAGAUAGAUUUCACAUUGCUUAGUGAAUCUGAAAUUAUAUAUAUGAUUGAGCCAGCUGACAAAAAUGUCAAGGCUUAUAAGUGACAAAUAAACUAGUAAUAAUAAUUAUGCUUAAAUAUUUUGAGCCGGCGAUUUGAACUCGACGAGUUAUUAUUGCUGAUGGGUCGGGUCAUUACAUUAAUACUCUUUUACUUAAGGACCAAUAUUUCACACUUAUCUUAUCAACCUUCUUUUUUAAUAUUAAAAAUCAAAAGAGGGUUAUCCAAACACUUAGGAUUGAUGAUGUAUCGAUGUGCGCCUAGUUUUUGGAUGCAUAGGUGGCAUUUCUGCAAAAAGUUUCUAGUAUGGCGAAAAUAGUCAUACAAUAAUCUACAAUUAGACCAUCUAUUGGGCUAUAAAAGAAAAGAACAUUGCAGAUAUUGCACCAAUUUCCCACGAAUCAAAAUAAUUCUCUCCAAAAAAUAAUAAUAAAAAAGAAAUGCAAGGAUCAGUUCCAUAUCAACAUCUCAUUGCUCCACAUACCAAUCAAUCAUUCAAUGGACAAUCAGCUGCAAACACAGUUAAGACAGAUGCUACCUCAACAGCUACCGCUCGCGUAGUAGCUUCUGCUUCUUUCUCAUCUGCUCUCGCCUCUCUUCUUCCUCAAUAAGGCGAAGCUGUUCUUCGUCCUCCUUUCUAGCAAUCUUCGAGCUGUAUAUGGUCAUUCAUUAAUACCGACUACUUGGUAAAUCCAGAAAACGAUACUUAGAUGAACAUAACUUUGAUAUCAAUUCAAUGAAAAGAAGAACAUCGGAAGUACCCACUGGAUAAGCUCUUGAUUUGAGUAAUAUAAUAAUUAAUGUUAGUUUAGUUAGUGAGCUCAGUUUGAGCCGCCGGGCUAAUCGAAAAGAGAAUUCAGUUGAAAUAAAGAUUGAAUACACAAACAUCAAAAUACAUACCUCCUACGCUCUUCCUUCUGUAUCUUAUCAAAACCAACCUCCAUGUCACUAUCAUCCUCAUCCAUCCCUGCAUACCUACUAGGAUCAUAUCUGCACAAAAGGACAAAAAAUAAGAAACAUUAAUGUCAUUGACAAUGAAAGCUUUGACAUUAAAUGAAUGAUUUAAAAAAAAAACAAAAGAAAGGAAAAGGCUGGUAGAUCUUAAAUCUAAAUAUUGAAAUUAAUAAAGCUAAUUUCCAGAAGACUAUAUCACACCAUCCCUUCCAAUUUUACACUAGUUCAAGCAGAAUGCCAGAUGACACUAUGAUAAGAGGAUAAGAACAACAAAAUAUACCCAAACAUCUUCCUGAUCAUUCCUAUAGCCAAUUCACCAUCUUCAUCAUCGUCUUCCUCAAAGGGCCGUUUUGCAGGCUUUUUCUUUGGACGGUCAUCAUGCGUGGCAUGCGAAGAGAUCUGCUUAGAUGGCUUCAUAAAGCAGCAGAUCAAAAGUCAGGACAGCAUAUAUAUAGCAAGAAAGCAGCAGAUAGAAAUCAUAUAUGUAAGAGAUGGUCUUAUGUACUAGCUCCUUAUUCAGAACCUAAACUUGGAUCCCCUCUUCGGUAUAGCUGCAGGCAGUUGCUUAAGUAAAGAAAAUUCCAUAUCGGGAAAAGGAAAAGAAGACCUGAGGUUUUGAUGAAGGCAACGGCUUCUUCGGUGCUAUUGGCUGCUUGGGUGCUAUUUUUACUUUAUCCAAUCCCGAAGCUAUUCUUUUUUGUUCAGGAUAACGAUUUUGAGUGGUUGAGGCAUGGGGCUUCACAGGCAAAGAAUUCUUCUUUAAACCAGGGUCAUUUACAACCUUUCCAAUAGACCUACGGGAAUCGGUGGACUGCACAGGAACCUUUCCAAUAGGCCUUUGUGAAUCAGCGGAAUGCAUUGGGACCUUUCCAAUAGGCCUAUGAGAAUCAGCAGACCGCCUAUGAGAAUCAGCAGACCGCACUGGAACCUUCUGAGUCAAUGCUUUACUCCCAACAACCUGUCUGGGCCCAUUUGCCACACCAGAACUAACCACUUUUCUAAUAGAUUCAGUUGAAGCUGGCGUAUGUCGGUUUGGAGGAGCUUCCUUUGUAGACCCCACUUUCGUUUGCACGUGCCUGUUUGUUGAAACCAGGUUCUUUGAUUCACGGCCAUUAGAAGCUAGACUACUUGCAGGUUUGCUCAUUGUCGGCAACUUGCUCUUCUUCGAUAGUUCUUGCGAAGGUCGACCAUCUUCCACAUAAGGAGAAACCUGUAUAAGUAUCCUCCUCUAUGAAAGACCAAAUAUGCUUUGCAAUAAAUAAUCCAGAUACUUGUGCAUUAAAAAUCACAAUAUACCAGAUCUUGGAACUGAAACAUUUCUGGAGGAAGGCGCCUCCUUAGCUGCAGGAGAAGGAAGAUCAGAAUCAUCUGAGAGUAGAAACGAGUAGUCCCUCAUGUCUUUGAGUGUCUGAGCUUUCUUCUUUGUCUGAAAGGGAAAAAUUCAAUGUUAAGUACACGUCACACACCACGCAAUGAGCACACAGCGAUAUUAGUAAUACAAGAUAUAGAAUGUAGUGUCCUUAUUUCCUCCACACCUCAUUAACAACUUUUGGUUGCUGGUAAUGUGCUUUUGGUUUUACUUCUGAGGAUAAGGGAUCCCUUUUCUGCAAAAGGAAAAGAACAUUAACUUUCUUGUUAAAAUUAAAGCUAGAUGAUUUGAAACCAAGGGUCUGUUGUACAUACACUUGAAGAACUUGACGCUUUAGCGACAAUGUGCUUGGUCUCUCUAAUAGAGCGGCUUUCUUCGAUAACUCGUGGAGCAAUAACAGGUUUUGAAGGGCCAAAGAAGGAGCCAAACCUGAAAAGAGAAAUGAUAUUCUUUAUGAAGGAACAGAAUGCUAUGCACCAUCAAACCAUCCUAAGUAUUGAUGAGUAGGAAAAAUUUAGAGUAAAUUCACUAGUACAAGAAAAUUUAGUAUUCCAAUAAUUCAAACAAUUUCACACCAUGAAAUAACAUUCAGCUUUACUUUAUAAUUCAAACACCAACUAUCAUAAUAAGUCAGCUCGUUAUUUUGAACUUUCUAAUUUGGUUUUAUUUAAGUCUUGAUGGUUGCUAGAGAUCUGUAAAUUUAUUAGUUUGAGAUAUGAUCUCACUGUGGAGAGUACAAGGAUCCUGGCCUUUCUGUAGCUGAUUGCUGGCCUACUCAUAAUGAAUUCAAACUCAGCAAUUGCACUAAGAUCUGCUUCUUUAGACACAUAAGUGUUGCAAUUUAUAAAAAAAAUUGGAAUAUAGCUACCAAUUAAAGUCCAAGGGACACAAGAAACAGAAUCACUGUCUUUGUUAGCAAAAAGUCUUCUGCAUAAGGAUAAGCUCAAAAAACACAUAGCAAGGACACAAAGCAUCAACUCACUUAUCAUUUGGCACCGCCGUCCUCUUGACUUGAGUUGAAGAUACACGACCGAAAUCACUAGCAGUUUGCGUCUUCAACUUUCGUCUAAAUUUAUCUUUUAGUUGCUCCCUCAGCUUUAGAAAAUCCUGUUCCUCCCUGGUGGGCUUCGGAGCUUCACGUUCUUCUUCCUCAGCCUCGGAAGCUUCCUCCUCAUAUUCAUCAUGAUCAUAAUCCUCCUCAUAAUCAUCAACUCUUUGGCGAAAGCCCUAAUAAGAAAAUUUAUAUGCUCAUUAAGUCUGCUUUGCGAAACAUCCAAAUAGGAAAAAAGUUGAUAAGAUUAGUAACUUACAUUGCUUUCAUAGCCCCUCAUUGGCUGCAAGACAUUCAAGGAAUCCACAAGCUUAAUAAUUCAGAGAGCAGCAACUCGCAAACCCUAUGAUGAAGUUACUGCAAAAUAUAAGAAAUAUUGUAACCACGUACCGACCAUAUGGGGUUUGAGCUUGGCUUUCAAUCGUUCUAAUAAGUAUAUAUCCAAAGAAGUUUAGACAAUUUGCAGCAGGACCUCGACAAAUCCGGCAGCAAUGAUAAUAAAGAAACAAGAAAAAAUAUGUCCAGAUUCUUGAUUUUAAGGAAACAAUUUAAUAGGAGAGAUACAUAAUAUGAUAGUCGAAUAGAAAAGAAUAAUUCUGCAAGACUUGAUACUAACCAAUAAAGAAAUGUCAUACUUUGUGGUAUGUACAGGAAAGAUUUUAUCAGGAGAUACACAAUAUAAUAGUCGAAUAGAAAAGGACAACUCUGCAACUAUGUUAAGUUAAUGCUAAUAUUUAUCACAAGUUAUAUCAUAGACUAAGUUGAGCAUGCGUCAUAUCGAUAUUCUCCAUUGAUUGCAAAUCAAAGGCGACUAUUUUUUUCUCUUUAGAUUUCUGCUCAAAGGAACAAAACAAAUCUGAUAAUUCUAAUCUAAAAUUUUUUAUUCAAACUCAACAAUCAAGCAAACAUCUGAAAUAUUUCGAUUCAAACUCGACAAUCAGGCAAACAACGCUUUGCAGAGCUAUCCAACAUAUGAAAAAUGUAAUAAAAGGAUACCACAAAAUUACAAAUUUCAGUUUUACUAAAACCUGAUUAGUUCCAAUUACAGAAUUACAGGAAUCUUCAAAACUUACAUAAGAAAAAUUACUAAAAACGAAACAAAAAAUCGAAAUUUGUAAUUUUGUGGUAUCCUUUUAUUACAUUUUUCAUAUGUUGGAUAGCUCUGCAAAGCGUUGUUUGCCUGAUUGUCGAGUUUGAAUCGANAAAACUUCCUUUCAUUAAUUAAAAAAAAAAACAAAAAAAACAAACCUUUUUGGUUUAAUCCCAUAAUCAAAAUUUCUGGAAAAAAAAGACACCUUCUCACUUACUAAGUUAGGGCAUCACACUAAAGAUCGACUCUAUUUACAGAUCCAUAGGAUCUCCAGCCUCAAAAACAUCAAAACCCCUAAUCCCAAAUUCAGAACCUCAUGCAGCCCCAAAUCUCUUCGAUCCAUCACAAAACACUAACCCUGAAAAAAAACCCUCAAAAUCAUCCCCGGAGACCGAAAGAAUCACCCAAAUCGGGCAUUUUUUGCAGAAUAGAUCGAUCCGGAAAAGGACAAAAGAUCAGAAAAUUCGAUCUCCAAAGAAGGAGAGAUCGAAUCAAGAUCCGAAUUUGACACCGAUUGCCCCCUUAAAACUGAGCCGAUCGAAAGCAAAACGUAGAGAGAUGAGACGAUACCUGAACCUCGAAGGGGCGAGAGAGGGGUUGCGGAGCGAAAAGGAGGCGAUAGAGAGAGAACGUGCGAAAGGCGAAGCUCCUACGUUUUGAUCGAACGAGCCCAAAUCCUUAUCAACAAGGAGAUGUGAGCGAAGCGUUAAACCUAGCCAUGGUAAAGUCGUAAAUAAACAGGUAAGCUGACACGUGGCAUGACCAGUGGUCGAAAAAAUAUUUGGUACUUUUAAUUUAUUUGAUUUGAUUUGAUUUGAUUUGAUGUAAGCUAGUAAUCCAUACAUUACUAAAUUUAUAAUGAUUAAAAUUAUAUAAAAUAUAUUAAUAAAUUUAUAAAGAUAAGUAAUAUAUUCAAAAUUUGAUAUCAAAAUAUCUUAUUAAAAUUUAAAAAAUUAUAUAAUAACAUUAAAAUUUUGAGAGGUGGGAUGUCAAAUCAAAAUUGUUCACUGCUAUGCUAAAUUUCAUAUGUUUUUACCAUAAUACUUUUAUAUUUUGGAGGUGCUUUUGAAUUUUCUUUUAUUUUUUAAAGUAUAUAAUUAAGUGCGUUUAGCAAAAUAAUUCCAAACUAGAGUCCAGUGUAUUUGCCUGCAAGACAUUGUUUUUUUUUUUUUUUUUUUCCAAAAACUGUAAAAAUUUACAUAGUUCUACAAUGAAAGCUAAUAUUGUAUUUAACAAAGUGAAAAUCUAAAAGAAUAAAAACAAAUAAGUUUUUGAGCCUCAAAAAUAUAAUAAUAAUAAUAAUAAUGCUUGUAAUUUGGUAAGUGCCUUAAUUACAAAUUUGUUAUUUCAAAUAUUGAUUUCAAUUAUGCCCACUUUCCACACAGUAGACUAAUGAAAGGACUCUGAAUUAGAACUCAGGGCAUAGAAUUGAAACAGGGGUAGCAUAUGGAGGAUAAAACAGUAAGCAAACCAAAAUGCUAUUCCUACCAAUGUGUGAUCUGGAAUGUCAUGUUGUAUACAAGAUUGGUUCAACAUGAAAUAUGUUAGUGAGGAGAGUACAACAUAUGGAAGGAACUACAGUUGUCAGUGAAUCUGAACUUGAUUAAGCUGCAACAUCAGCUUCUCAUAACUAAGGAAGAAACCUACGCGGCUAAGAUGUAAUAUACAAGUGAAAUUUAUUCUUCCACGAAGAAUCGUUAAAAACCGAAAAGCAACGACUAAUCAUACAAUCAAAUGAAGCCCGAACCGAAGCUGCAGCAGCAGUUCCUUCAGCAAGUUCUGUUCACCUGAUUUGGAAGCCUUCCUACCAAGAGAUUCGAGGCGACACGGGAACUCCGGAAGUUGAGGCAUCCACAGUUAAAUGGGAGACUAGGAAAGUUUUCGCUUGAUCACUCAUAGCCAUUUCUUUGUGGCCUUUGAAGAUGGAUGGACAGGCGGUGGUGUCCUCGGAUUCGGCAUGUUUGUAUCUGCCACCACAGCGACAGAAACUUUGAGAUGAUAAUUAAUCAUGAAGAGUCAAACAAUAGCAUUGGAUCUUAAAAUUGUAGACACCAUCAUGCAGGCAUUGAAUACCCUAAUUGCGUGAUUGAAAGCUCAAACCGGCAGUAGAAGACAUGCCAUGAUGAUUUGCGAAAAGACAAAUAAUAUUUUUCACAUUAUCUCUGCAAGAGUAUAAUAAGGUUAGACCUCAGCAUAUCAGACAACAGAGGGAACAUGAGCAAGCAUUCAACAGAGAAGACCUUUGCAGUUACUAUAAUAAGGUUAAAAGAGAGAACUAGUCGCAAAUUCUAAUUUUCGACUCACAUGAAUCCACUGAUUUUCCACCAAGUGAGGAUCUCCUUGACAACGGCUGAACAGCCGUUAACGACUGCCGCCUCCUCGAUCUCGCGUCAAUUGGAAUAGGAGACUUGCUCUCAAUGUUCUUGCUUAUGCUGAACUUGGAUGAUGGUGUUUCCGAUGGGCGCUGAGUGUUCCUAUACAUUUCAGAGAAGCAUUAUAAAAAAGCGAUUAUGAAGUUAGAUAUGCUAAUCCAAAAUGAGUUUUUCAUCGUCAUCCAACUUCUUAAGUACUAUUACCUUCUUUCGGAGCCAUUUAUCAAUUUUCCAAUACUUUGUAGGGAUUUUCUUAUAUGGGAUCCUUUGCUGCUGACAAUAGAAUUUGAGCCUUUUAUCUCUGACUUACUGCCGAGCUCAUCUCUGAUACUCACUACCUCGCUAGAUUUCAUUACUCUAUUCGGUGUAUUCUGUUGGAAAUCAUAGCCAGAUAGAUUCUCCAUCUCAAGCAACAGACACUGAUCUCUUGACAAAUUACCAGUAAGAGGAGAGCAUUGUAAGAAAGCAUCAGUAUCAGCUACACUAUGACACUCCUCAUUUAUUCUCGAUUUUGCUUCCACGCCACCAUGCAAUGCUGCUUGACUACAGUGAUUGCUUCCCUUAAGUGGUUCUCCUUCAUUUGUAGAGUUGAGCUGCAUCAAAACAAACAACAGCCAAACAUGAAACAACCUUUACACAAAUUGAAAACUCAAAUUUUAUCUUUCUAUAUGGCAUCUUACUUUUAAAGCUGAUUUAGUUUUUCCAAGAUUUGGACCUUCCAAGCUCGACCGUCUGUGAUGAAUCGGCACAUAUUCUGUUGCCACCUUUUGCAUCGGGAUUGGAGAUUUAGGAACCCUUCUAUCAUCUGGGUUAGUUGAUUUAGUUACCUUUGAGUUAGUUGUAUUCUCAAUGCUAAGCCUUCGAGACCGUGGAGGGGUUCGCUCCACCAUUUGCUUUGCUCUCUCACUGAGGGGUGUGUUCUCUUUCAUUUUCAAUGAAGAUGCAACUUUUUCUGCUUCCUUAGUUGCCAGUGCCUUCUUUAGACUAUCAAUCUGCAAAAACAUUGCUUCCAAUAAUUAGAUGUUGUUUGAACCAGCAUCAGAUAAAUUAAUCGUACUUUUCCUUCUGCUGCAAAAUAUUACUUUUUGGACAAGUGGCCAAUAAAUGAACAGCUAUAAGAAAAUUAUGAACAUCACAUCCAAAUUGAUUUAGAAAAUGUUACAAGUGACAGUUAACAUCUUACUACAAGAAAGCAAAUAAUUCACUCUUGGUACUGCCACUUAAUUCGAAAUAAAGUACUGCCACUUAGUUCGAAAUAAAUUAUACUUGUGCCUAAAUUUAUUGUCGAAAGAGCAACAAAUCCAAGGAUAAAAUGACACAUAUCAUCUGACCUGUUCUUUGAGUUCCCGAACUUCACUGCUUUCUUUAUUCGAAUGGGCAACACCGAGCUCAACAGUAGAUGCCCUUUGUGCAAACUUCAGCGUACUUACUGUUUCCACAUAAGAGUCGGCCUCAGGACUCACAUGAGCAAACAUCAACAUCUUUGCAUUGCCACCUGAAAUGAAAAUUUAGAGAGUACUUAUAAAAGAAAAUAGUGGCAAGUACUUCCUCCUCCAUGAUCCAAUUAUUUUACUAUUAAAAAAAAAAGAAUAACAAGGUAAUCAGAUUUAAAACCUAGUGAGUUUUGUAACAACUGUGUGAGCUUGCUGUUUCGGUAUGGGAUGUGAGAGUUCUUCUGAGCCAAGGCUGUGAUGACAUCUCCCAAACAGGAAAGAGACUUGUUAAUAUGUUGCGCCUCUCUUAGCCUGUCUCCAGUGGCUUCUGAUCGAUCGACCCUUUCGCUACCCGCAAGGUCCACUAAAUACAAGCAACUGUGAAUCGUGCUACCCGAAAUGUCUUUACCAUGAACAUGAACUGUCAAAACACUGCAUAGAAAAGUGCAACACACUCCUCUCUAAGAUCACAUUUCUGAACAGAACAUCUUCUGUGGAUUGCACAGGCUGCAUAAUAGCAUCCGGAAGGCUCAACCCACCAUUGCUUGAGCAAGUCCUAAUCUCUAUUGUGAACUUGUCGUUAAGGACCCCAAAACAAGUUAAUAUUUCUUUUGAAGAGAGAGAGAUAGCAUGCUAUCUGCUUCGUCUUUUUUCUUUUUAUAGAAAUGAACUUAGCAGGAAAUGUGAAACAACUAGGCUUCGAAUUUGAGAUCUUGGGUACCAAAUGUCGGGCCCUUUGUCACUUGUGUUAAAGACAGUCAAUAAGUUAAUAUAAUACUAUAUUGAGGAAGAAAUAUAAGUAUAUUUGUACAAAAGGAUAUUUGGUGCUUGUUGCAUCUUCUGCUAAAAGGUCCCGGACUUGCUCAUUGUAGAUCUCAACCAUCUGAACUUGAAGCUCGUAUUUCACGUCUUCUCGUGUUCUUGAUAUUUGGAAGAGGUCAUUUAAAGCCUUGUAAUUUAACCCCAUCUCCUUACUAGAUCUCUCUGAUGGGCCACACUAUUUAGACAAAACAAAAGUAGAAAUAGUGGUAAAGCUUAGUAUAAAAACGAAAGCCCACGACACACACAAUUUGCAGAACUACCAGAGAGAAUUUCCAUGAUUAAACUUACCAUGGUGUGGGUUUUACCAGAACCUGUCUGGCCAUAAGCAAGAAUACAUACAUUAUAACCGUCCAUUACAGAUCUUAUCAAAGAUUGUGUGUCCUUGUAUAUAUCAUCUGCAUAUAAAUGCGAAUUUAGGAUUUCAUUACUCAUUAAGAAAGAAAGAAUUCUAAGAUCACUAAAAGCUUGUAGAAGAAGACCUUGAGUCGCAGUUGGGCAGAAAACUUUGUUGAACUGGAAAACUUUGCGUGCACUUUGUGGCUUAAGCGGAUCAAGAACCAUCAGCGAGCCAUCAUUUCCAAUGUAGUCGAUUGAAGUUUUAGCUCCCGAGUCAAUAAGUGGUCUGAUCCUGCAAAACACUCGAAUAUUUCCUGGCAAAUAAUAAUUGUCAUAAUUCAUCCUUUGCCGAUGACAAUCUCAAUGUAUACUAGUGCACAUAAUCUUGCUUACCCCUUAACUCCUGAAGCGUGUUAUACAAUUGCCGGUUUUCUUUAACAGCUUGAUUGUAUCCCAUAGCGGCAGCAGAUAGCUCUUGAAUAUGAAAUCCUAUAAGAGUUAAUAAAUAGCAUCAGUUAACUUUCUGAAGUUCAUAAGCAAUAUUUCCAGAGAAUCAUCCUGACAGAGCUUGCCAUCAAAUGACUGAGAGUAGGACUCAUAUAUCGAUUAUAACUACAGCUUGCUACAUAAUUGUUAGCUCUUACGUAUUUUUUUGCAAUCAUCCUGUAAUUGGUGCUGAAGUGUUACAAAGUCGUCUUUAGUUCUCAGGAGCAUAGUUUUGAGUUCCUGAAAAGUUAAUUGAAGGCAUUAAAUAAUAUCAGAUUGACAGAGUAGCAAGUAAACACUAGUUUUUACCACAGAUACGCUCACUUUGCAUCAAGUAAGAAUAAACAAUUAUAACAAAUAUUAGACGAUAAAGCUACUAUAUCUUAAUAAGAGGAUAUUCUAAAGCAAGAAAAAAAGAAAAAUAGUAGAACAACCGAAACUCAUAUAGGUAACUUGAAAUAUAAUGCCAAACAGAUAAAUAACAAAAUGAUGACUUACCGCAAGUUCAUUUUCUUGGGCUUCCAAAAGACGCCAAUGAUAGGAAUCAGCUUUUCCCGAACAUACUUUAUAACUCUGCAGAAGUGUACAGUAUACUUUAAAGGAGUUGGUUUAUUAUUAGGAUAACUGGUAACGUGUCAAUAUGAAUAGACUUUUGAAAUAUGCAAAGAACAAAAUAAAGAGAAUGAUAAUGACUGGCAUAUAGUGGACCUAGCAUAACAAAUCAUGCCUACCAUAAUAACAUCAUUUCAUAUAGGAAAUGUUAAAGGGUUUACAACGACUAUCUUACGCUGCUAAAACAAUCUUAACUUGUAGCUAUCACCAUACACUACCAGUAUAAGAUCUAAUGCAAUCAAAGAACUUAACAUCCUUAUUAUUAUACGACAAGAUUUACAAAUAUUCUAUAAUCAUUUUCAUCAGACUUCCAACCAUAGCUCUCAAAUCACAUUUAUUAACACCAUAAGCCAACAAGUUAUUCAAAAUUUCAAAUGGUGAAAGAAGACUCAUCAUUUAGGUAUAAACGAAAGUUCCCGAGGAUAUAUGCAAGUAUCGGCGAGAGCUAUAUUUGCGAACCACUUAAAAUCAUCACCUAGCAAACAACUCUGGGUUAACAUGAUCCUAUCGUCAGUUCCAACUGAAACUGUAACCAACUAUAAAUCAAUAAAUCAUUAUGGCAUGGGCAAGAUGCACUAACCAAAAUUAGCACAUACACUACUAUUAAGAAAAGUCUGUUGAUGUAACACUUAUUUACAAUUAAAUUUAUAAUCAACAUCUAUCAUUUAUAUUAACAUAUUUCGCUCUAACUCAACUGAGGCUUUAUAUUUUAUACCAAGAAAAUUGAGGUUUGGCAAUAUAAAUGCUGAAAAGCGAAUACAUGGGAUCAGUCAUAUGAAUCCUCCUUCGCCAUUCAUGUUCAAGUUUAAUAAGCGGUCCCCUCAUAAACAAAAGGCAGUCAAACUAUUUCGAUUACCUCUAACCAUAGCAUUUUGUUCAUUACUUCACAUUUGACAUUGACUAUUUAACUCCUAAUACUGCAAAAUAUAAAAAUUCAGUCUCGACUCAUAACAAGAAGUCUAACCUCAUGAUUCUGAGAUAAGUCGUUGUUCAGCACAUUCUCUUCUAGUGAAUGAACUUCAAGAAGCGAUUUCAACUACAUCAGAAAAGCACACAAUGCGCCCUUAGUGGACAUGGAUUUCAAUAAUAGAAAAGGCAAAAAGCAUAUUUCUGUAGCUACCGUGUAGGCUUAAAUCAAGAAUUUGAUAUCUAGCCUCAGCAUAAAGGUUUGAAAAGUCACAUCAGUGUUUGAGAUUCUCCUUUAUUUAGAAGAUGCAUAAUCAGAAUUGAAAAAAAGAACUGCAAUAAUAGUAGAGAGAAACAAAGAGAGCUUACAAAAAUUUAGUUUAGGGCAUCAAACAAACUUUUAGCUGCAAAUGAUAGGUACUGGACACUAGAAGGUUUUGGUGCAAGAAUCUACCAGAACAUAUUGUCAAAGUGAUACACCAAUACCUCUUGUAGAAAUAAGUCUUUCUGAAAAAGAAUGCUGUACAUGAUUUAUAUCAUGUUUAUUUACCUGUUCCUCUUCAGGGCAACUUGAGACGAUCUUACGAAAUAGCUGAAUGGGAUCCUAAAACCAAGAACAUGUCCAAGUGAAAAACUGUCACAGAAUACAAACGGAAACAAUGUUGUCAGUCCAGCGAUACGGUUGAAAACAACUAUUACCAAUUUUCCCUGAUUCCAUAAAUCUAGAAGAUCUUUGUUGAUGUUCUCCUUCGAGUUUAGCAUACAAUCUGUUAGCACUCUCACGAGCGAGUCCAUUGCAUCUGAGAAGGAAAAUAGGGCUUAAAAUUACAAGCAAGAUAUGCAGGUAUAGAAGUUUUUUCAAUCUCAUAUGUUACUUAAUCUCAAAAGUUAUCCACCUUCACUCUUUUGAUUCUCCUUUUCGGAAGAUGGCUUGUUAUCCAAGGGUGCCGUCAGGUCCAAUCGCCUACAACGGACCAUUAAACCCGAGGAGCAGGUGACGCGAGACUGAGCUCGGCUGGCGGAAUGCGGAGCCACUGGCGAUUUCAUGAACUUCCCAGGCCCAUUGCCUCCACUGCUUUGCUUCCACUCAUGGUAAGAUUUCAAUCCUAGAAUACAAUCGACAAUCUUAGCCGCCGACCCGGCCUCCAAAUUAUCCUACAAGAACCAUCCAAAAUAUUAUAUAAAAGGGUUUUUAAGGUAGUAAAGUGAUCUAAUUUGAAGUUGUAGUAUAUCCAACCCUUUCGAGAUCGGAAGCUUCGAAGCUCGGCAGCUUUAGCGCGUCGACAGCGACUAGAAAGUUGCGGAUGUUCUCGAAGUGCUGAUAAGCAGUGAGGGGCUGGCUGUCCCACGUGGCCCCGAUCGGCUGAUUGCCGACAACCUUAACCCAGAAAAUGCAAUUCAAUCACAAUAAAUAAGGAUCGGAAUUGGAAGGAGGAAGAACAGAAAAGGAAUUAAAUUGAGGAAAUGUACCUUGGGAACAGCACCUGGGAGGAUCUUGUUGAUGGCGCCGCAGAGGAUGAGGCCGCUCCUCAAGCAGGAGAUGAACUCCUUCUCGGAGGGUUGCACCGGCAAGCCGAGAGGCCCCAGCAGGCUCUCCAGCCAGCUCGCCGCUUGGGACCGCCUGCAUGCUGCGGUAGAAACAACAAGAACAAGAGUUGGCGAUGCCCACCAAUUUCCCAGGAAAGAUAUAAGGAUGCUAACCUUAGCCCUAGAAAGAUAAUGGAGAUUACUUGUAUCUUAAGUGGAACAAAGGUUCUGAAAAAUUUAAAGCAAAGAUCCAAAAUUUGUUGGAAAUCCCAACAAAACCCACAUCAAGAUUCCAUUCAAAAUCCCGUUCUCGCUAGAGCCAUCUCUGGAUUCAAGCAAAAACGCCUCAUUUCACGCACAAAUGAACUUAGAAUUUGCAUCCCCCGCAACAAAGAUUGGAACCGAGGAAAAGAGAGAGAAAGGGAGCCACACCAGCUUCUUCCGCUUUUCUCGAUGCGAAGCGCCCGUCUCUGAACGAUCGCCGACAUGGCUCCUCCAUUGUUGCUUGUUCUCCUCCUCCUCCUCCUCCUCCUCUGAGAGAGAGAGAGAGAGAGAGAGAGAGAGAGAGAGACGUGGGUAUUGGAUUGGGGGAGAAGGGAGGAGGGGAGAGAGGAGGAGUGAGAGGGGGUGGUGGUGGAGGGGGCUUAGGAAUCGUAACGUUAAAAUUAGAAAGAAGGGGCGAAGAGGGGGACGAUUUGAAUUUGAAUCGGUAGGGCCCCCUCGAUACUGCCGUUACCGCUGAUUGAAUCGCGGCCGUACAUCUCUUUGUUAUACAAUCCUACGGUCCCGAUUGUUCCUCCUAGAAGCUAUGCAAAAGAGGUUCCUUUUAAAAUUACUUCAUUUCUUUCUUUCUUUCUUUGGACAAUGUGCUAGUGCACCAGCUAUAGGCCAUUUUAAAACAGACCCUUUUGACUUGAGAAAUGCUACACCCUCCAUCGUAAAAUUUAAAAACUCUUAAAAUUUUUAGUAUUUAAAAAAUGACAAAUUAAGAAUUUAAAAUAAGUUUUUAAAUGAAUGGAGUGUUAAAUUUAUAUUUUUUUCUAGAGUCUUCCAGUAGCAUUGCUCUUACAUUAUAGCAAUAGAUAGUGUUACAAGUACUGCAACUUCUGUAUAGUGGUACAACAUUUAUUAUCAAUCAAGAAAGAAAAACUGGAUGCAACAUUUUUCAAAUGCACCUUGCUAACUUUAAAUGAUCAAAUUCAAUGACUUUGAAAGAUGGUCGAGACUCGGGCAAGUGCCAUAACACACUGAAUAGCAGUAUUGGGCAAGUGCCAUAACACACUGAAUAUUAGCCUCUAAACAUCUCAUUUUUUUUGUCUCUUUUCUCCUUUCAUCUUCACUACAUCUCAUUUUUUUGUCUCUUUUCUCCUUUCAUCUUCACUGGCAUAGCAUUUCCGCGAAAAUAAUUACCAUUCAUCGAUUACAAGUUGGCUGAAGAAGAUGUUAUACUAACUCACACAAUACAAUAUGGAUACAAAUUUUUUCCCUAAAUAAAAGGAAUUCCCCACUUGAUGACCAUAUUGUUACCACAAUUGCUCAAACAUUACUUUUCAGAAGCCUUCCUCCUCAUAUUGCUUGCAGUAAUUAGUUGGUAAUGUGAUGGCGGCAUAUCGCUCGUCUUUCCAAACUGUUUCUCGUAGUAUUCCCACAACUCAGACCUAAUUUAAAAGCAAAAAGGACACGCAUGAAGGAUCAGAUAACGCCUGUUCUCUGAUGUAGAUACAAAACUUAAUCGCCAUUAGUUUAAAUUGCGUACCAGUAUGCCAAGAACUGGUACGGGGCAUACUUCCCGUAGAUUGCGUCAAUGUCCUUCUGAACAGAUUGUACAGCGCAACUUCUCCGAUGAAACUGCAAGAGAAUUUUAAAAUCGUUAGCGUAUUUGUUCCUGAAAAUCAUGUAGCGGUCGGUAAAAUGGACCUGUUUUAAAUGCCUAAUUGUUUCAGAAUCAGCUGGAAUUUUGUGGUAGAACCCCAUGCACAUGAGGACGUUGGCGCGCGUGAAAGGACCAAAGCCCGAGAGACGUGAGAGCUCCUCAUCCAAUUUGUCAUACGAGGAUAGCGUAUACCCUUUGCAUAAAUCUUCGAGCUUCUUAAUCUCUAACUUCCCCUCCACUAUACUUUUGGCAAGAGAUAUAAUACGCUGCGCACGAUAUCCAAGUUUACAGCGUUUUGCCAAGUAAUCUGCAUCGAGAUGGGCAAGUUCUUCCGGACUCGGAAAAUCUCCAAUCUGAUCAAUGGUGAUGGAAGCAUCACUUGCACUGUUAAUUGGGAGUUCGGAAUUUGCAAAUGAAUAGACGCUCAAGGGCUUCGGGUCGACGUCAUUCACCAACUCCACUUCAUUUUCUGCAAGCUUGGUUUCUAAUUUCAUUGCCGCAUCAUGUUCCGUUCCACGCUUUCUUUUGACUUCUUUUGGUUGAGGGGUUUUUGGUUGAAAAAGCUCCAUAGGUUUAGAGCCAUUAAGUUCCAGUUGAAGCUCGCAAAGUGCUCUAGCCAUUGACAAUGAUCUUGGCCACCUGCAAAGAUUUAUAGGAGAUUUAUAGACAGAAUUAAGAUUUACUUUUCAAUUUAGUUUCAAUUCUUCCCAAUUUUUUGUUCAGCAUACAUGAUAGACGAAACCAAUUGUAACUUUGUGCAAUCUGUUUUAAACUCCAGCAAUUCUAUCAUUCAAUACAAGGAUUUAAGUGACCAUCGAAACAUGUCGUAUCUACCAUGCCAAUAAGAUAUCGACACGAUACAAAACCCUCUAUUUUUAAAAUUAGUAAAUAAUUUUCUCAAAGCAAUUCAAAAGAUUUGAUAAAGAUAAGUAAUAAACAAUUAUAAUAUUUUAUUGCUAAAAAAAUAAAUAUUUCAUAUCAUUAUGUGUCGGCACACAAUGAAUUUUUAUGACCAACACGUAUUGUGUCAUACUGUUUCGACAAAUUUUCGGCAUGAUCUCGUGCCGCUGCGUUUAAAUCCUUGAUUCAAUAUACAUGCACCAACUACGGCCUUACAUCAAGGAUUUAAGUGUCAUAGCACAGAAUUGUGCCGGAAACUUGUUGGCACGGUACGACACUGUGCAUGCCAAACCGUGUCGGUGCGUGCCGGUUACAAAAAAUUCAUAUGUGCCGACACAUAAUAACAUGAAAAUAUUUAUUUUUUUUAGCAACAAAAUAUUCUAAUUAUUAUCAUGUAUUUUUAUUAAAAUUUUUGAACUUUAUUAAGAAAACUACUUGCUAACUUAAAAGAAGAUAGGGUUUUGAGCUGUGUCAUCGGUAUGAGGAUUGUAUAGUGUCGAUAUUUUAUUUGCACGAUACGGGGCGCACGAUACAUACAAUCCGUGCUGAUACACACUUAAACCCUUGCCUUGCAUCUUCCUACUAAAAGAAGUAGAGCGGGAGUUAUAUAACGAUUUCAAGCAGCGAAGAAAGAAGAAAGAAGGAUGACUCAACUGGCAAUUGCAGAGGAGGAUGCACUUGACCAUGUCCUCGAAGAGUGUCGGAGACCGGAAAACCCGGCCGAAGCCGCUCGCCCGAGCCCCCUCGUGGAGGUCGUGGAACUCCCUGAUCACCCGCUCGUUCUCGCCCGAUAUCCGGAGCAUCCGCCGCACCUGGCCCUGCAAAUCCGACCCACGAUCAGCAUUUCCAACUCCAGCGGAGAGAUCAGAGAGAGAAUAUAUGGACUCGGAGUUAGGGUUAGGGUUAGGGUUAGGGUUAGGGUUAGGGCACCGAGAUUGAGAGCAGGUCUUGGGGGGAGAGGGGGUGGUCGGGGGCGAGGACGGAGAGGAGGAGGAGGGGGCGGGAAGGGUGGGGAGAUGCGGACGGGGAGGGAGAGGUGGGGAGAGGAGGAGGAGGAGGAGGAGGAGGAGAGGCGGAGAGGGCGGGUGAGGGUUUUGGAGAGUGGGUCCCAGCGGUUGGGGGCCAUCAUGAACAGCCCGUGGCUGCACACCGCCCUCUCCAGGUCGAAGCUGCUGCUGCCGGCAGCCGUCGCCGACUCCUCCUCCUCCUUCGCCGGCAGCUCCAAAACCACGCAUCGCUGCCCGCCGCCGCCGCCGACAACUUCUCCGCCCAUUUUCUCCCUCUCCCUUUUUUUGCAAGAUUUUUUCUGGCGAAACUCACGCUUGGCUCCGGCGAGGAAGGGACCAAAUUAGAUUAAUAUAUAUUAAUUCAAGGUGAAGUUUUAUGUAAGGCUAAAAUAUAAAAAAUAAAUAAUUUUUUAUUUUUUUUAUUUUUUUGCCUUUACAAUGUUUAUAGUUUAUAUUUUCAAUUUUACGAAAUAAUUUUAGAGAUUAUGGUGUAAUGGAGAAACCGAAAUAAUCUGAAUCUGACAAAAUAAUUUUAAUAAUUUUUAAGACUAUUUUUAUUAUAGUUUCUAAAAAAUUGACAAAAAGUUGACGAAACCCAACGGUACGGACAAUAUGCAUUAAUUUAAAAUUUUGAAAAAAUAUAAUAUAAAUUUUUGAAAGCACGAAAGGAAAAGUAAAAAGUGAUUAUUUACAUAAUAUUUUUCGUAUUUUAGCCUUUAUUUAACUUAUAAGAGAAAUUUUCUUCACCUUACAACUUGAAGGUUCACUAAAUUAGCUGCAACUUUGUCAUUUUGUUUUAAAAUGUAUAAAAUUAAAGAAAGCGACAUGAUUGAAAUAGAUUUAAAUUCAGCUACUUAUUUAAUAUAAAUUAAAAUUUAGUUCCCUAAACAAAAUUUGGCCUUUGAAAUAUAUAUAUAUAUAUAUAUAUAUAUAUAUAUAUAUAUAUAUAUAUAUAUAUAUAUUGCUGUCAAAUUUUUAUCUUUUUAUUACUUUGCGAAACAAACAUCUUGCAUACAAUAAUCUUAAGCAGUCCACCAUUUAUGAAAAUUUUAUGACGCCAAAAAUAAUUAUUUAUGUCAUAAGCACUUCAGACAAGGAUAGACAAGGAAAGUACUGACAAGGAAAAGUCAUCCUACCAACACCAUUUUGUUGACGCAAGUAAUGAACUUUAGGGGAAAAUUUUCAACUAAGAAAGCAAAAGAAAAGUAUCAUUGACUGAAGAAGAUGUGCCAAAUCUGAAAUUGCAACCACUGAAGAAUUAAGGCAUACAUUUAACAUCAGAAAACAAAAAAAAAAAAAAAUGAAGAAAACAGUACAAAGUUUUACACCACCUGAGAUGCUUCAAUUAGCUAUAUAACCUCAAGAACUGGAGAAACUAAAAUAAGGAACAGGAUUAGUAAUACAUAAACAGCAAAAUACAAAAAGGCUACAGCCAUUUGGUCAGAAUGUGAUAUCAAAUAUAUUACUAUCUGGUAACAUAGAUGGUCUAGACAGGGAAUGUAAUAAGCUUUUAUCAUAUAAUUGAGCCGAAGAGAGUGGGAAACAGCACUGAAAAACUGAUGCUUUCAUAGUCAAGUGGAUCAAUUAAAGAAAUCUCCCAAUGCAAGCACCUAAUUUUAGGAAUACAAGGAAAUUGCAUAUAUUCUUAGCCUGCUAAUGGUUUGUCUGUAAAGAUUUUGAUAAACAGAAGAGCAUUCUAUGCAGAAUGUUUUUUCUGUCUGUUCUUUGAUAAUCGCCUCGGUAUAGAGUUUUCCUUACCAAGAGUAUGCUUACUGGUAUACACUGCAGCAGUCCAUCAGUAGCAGAUGUCAACUUAUCUUUGCUUUUACGCCGAUCCAUAAGCAGCUCAGGCUUGAAAAAGCGAGUCCAUGAUCCUCAGUUUCUCCUCUUAUCUUCUUCAUCUUCAGUUUUUAACUACCAUAUUUCUUCAGCAAGAUAAAAUAACAGUUAAUUUGUAGGUUCUUGUUACUGUUUAUUCUUUCUUCUGUUGUCCUCAUAACAAAUUCGAGAAAUGAUUGUUAAAGAUCCAAUAAGCUAAGCCUAUCUACUACUUUGAUCACGAAGCAUGUUGCAUUAUUUGAGCCUAAUCUGAAACCGACUGCAUGCCGAGACAUCAUACAUCGACUUAUCACUUUUGUGUUUCUUCUCUUGGUUGCCAGGUAAACAAAAACUUUUGAGGUGUUGAAAGUCGAGAUUCAUCCUCAUAAUAUCAAAUUGAUCUAACAUGCCAAUGCUAGAUUUUAUAGUCAUGGGAUUAUUAUAGAGCCUCUUUUCAUAAGAAACAAGAGAAGACUAUGACCAAGAACAUACCGUACCUCAUAGACUUGUCCAUGUGAGUUAAAUGUUUGGGUUUUUCUUGCUUUUUCACGAGAAAUUUUUGGCGAUAAUACCUAAAAAAGGACAGAUUCCAUAAACGAGCAUCUCAAGUAAUUCUGUUUUUCGCAUUGCUUACAUGAGGCUCCAUAUUAAAUCACCACUCAAUGCAAAGAACCUAGAACGAACCGUUUGUCAUAUCAUGCAAGAAAAGAAUCUUAAUAUGGAUGCCUUCAUGGUGUUCUCCAGUCAGGGCACGGCGCUAUCCAAUCUAUAAGGGUCAAUCAGGUAAAUCGAAGUUCUAAAAAAGGGUACUGAAUGGGUACUCAAUACAAUCUUUACGGAGAAUCAAACAAGAUCAUGUGAGUCUCCAUGUUCGCUAAAAACCUAUGAACUUUCCUAGGAAUCUCCUUCACCUGGUUCAAAGCAUCAUAUAGAUAUUACUAUCUUUUGUCAAGCAUACAUCUAUAUCCGAACAAAACUUUCGGUUCCAAUCCCCUAUGCUUCAGGAAGAUCGAAUAUAUGAAAUGCGAGAUAAGAAGGGUGUGUGAAGCACGAAUUCCAGUUCUACAUGCAACAUUUGUAUCAUUCAAUUUAGAUAACAAAAAAGCCCUUUUUCUGGGCCUAGAUUGAAAUUACCAUCGCUACAAUCGGGAGAACUCGUCGAGCUGUUUCCCAAAUGUAAAUAGUUUAAUUGAACAGUAAUGAUAACACAAACAUAGGUAGAUUUGAAAGAACUGGGUGUAUCUAAACAAGAUCUACAGCUCAACUCGAUAUUUUCUCAAACAGGACUGUUCUUACUGUUUGAUUCCUCCUCAAGAACGGCAGCGAAUUCUUGUCAUCGCAAACGGAUCGUGCAAGAUGGACCGUUCUCGCCCUGCUGAUGAUAGAUCUCUGGCCGCUGACGAAACUGCUGUCUGCCAUGAGUUCCAUCAGAUUCCUACUUUCCCUUGUGCCGGCUUCGGAGAACACCUUCGCAUUCCUUGACGGGCGGGAUCCCUUCGCCGCGGCGGAAGGCGGCUUCUUGGCGAAAAUCAGGGUUUCCUCGUCCUCGUCCUCGUCCUCCUCCUUCUCCUUCUCCUCCUCGACAGCGGCGGCACUGGCAGAGGGCUCGGGCUCUUCAAUUUCGUCUUCGUUGAUAAAUCGCAAUUCGGAAUUGAGGCCGCCGUGGGGCCUCAGCUUCGAAAUGGCGCCGCCCUGGGUGUCGACGACGGAGCAGGGAUUACCGACGACGAGGCCGUUCCAGGCGCGGGACGGCAGGGUCCUGCUGAGCGCCUUGAGCUGGUCGACCACCUGGUCCAUGGAGGGCCGGCGCUCCCUGCAGGAGCGCACGCAGCUCGCCGCGAGCCCCGCGAGGCGGCGCCGCGCGGCGGGGUCUCGGGGCGGGGGGAUGCGGGGAUCGAAGAGCGCCGCGACCUUCCCCUUGCGGAGGAGCGGGACGGCCCACUCGACGACGGAGGGCGGGGAGUGGGCGACGUCGAUGGCCUUGCGGCCGCUCAUGAUCUCGAGGAGCAGGAUUCCGAAGCUGAAGACGUCGGUCUUGGUGCUGAGGCUGUCGGGCGUGACGUAGGAGGGGUCGAGGUAGCCGAGAGUGCCGGCUGGAGGGGUAGAGCCGGCAGCGGAGGCGGAGGCGGAGGCGGAGGCGGCGGCGGCGGCGGUUCCGCCGGAGCCGAAGUCGCCGAGGCGGGCGUCGAGGUUGCGGUCGAGGAGGACGUUGGCGGACUUGACGUCGCGGUGGAUGACGGGCGGGCGGGCGGAGUGGAGCGUCAGCAGCGCCUUGGCGGUCUGCAGCGCCAGCCGCAUCCGGCGGGCCCAGCCGGGCGGGCGGGGGUUGGAGUGCAGCAGGUCGUACAAGGUCCCGUUCGGCAUGUACUCCAUCACCAGCACCACCUCCCGCCCGCCCCCGCCCCCGCCCCCGUCGGAGGCGGAGAAGCCGAGGAGGUUGACGAGGCGGGGGCCGCGGAGGGACGAGAGGAUGUCGAUCUCGUUCUCCACCUCGUCGCGCGCGGCCGCGGGAGCGGGCGGAGAAGGGGGGCGGCGGCGCGAGGGGCGCUUGACGGCGACUGGGCGGGCGAAGCCGCGGAGGACGGCCUUGUAGACGGCGCCGUGGCUGCCGCGGCCGAGGAGGACGGACUCGGAGAAGUUCGACGUCGCCGCCUCCACCUCCGCGUAGCUGAACCUGCGGAUCGAGCAGCCGGCAGCAGCAGCGACAGCAGAUAAACACUUCUUACCGCCAUCAUCAUCGCUCAAGACAGCUCCAUCAGAUAGAUCGGCCGCGGAAGCAGAUUUAGAUUUAGAUUUAGAUUUAGAUUUAGAAGAGGUGAAAUUCCUGCGUUUAUGGGGUUGGACGGGGACGAUGGAGGAGAUGGAGCGGCACGUCGCGAUGGAGGAGUCGGCCCGGCAAGAAAGGUAGCCCAUUAUUCUUAGGAAAUUUAUUCUUCCGACUCACCAAAAUUUGAAUUCGCCGAAUUAAAAUGGAGGAGGAAGAAGAAGCGUCGGUGGUGGUGGUGGUGGUGGUGGUGGUGGUGGGAGUGAGCUGAGAAGGGUGGGUUGUUUUGGCGAAUGGGAUUGUUAUUAGAUGCGCAUUUAUAGAUCCAGGUAAAUUAGAACAAGCUCAAGGGGACUGUUUUCUUAUUAGACGGCGUUGAGAUGAUAUAAUAAUAUUAAUUAUUAAUUUUCUCGGGUGGGGGGCGAAGGAAAAUGGGGCGCCGAUCGAGCAUUUGGCCAUUUGGGGGCUUUUUCUUUUUUAAUUAAACUUUUUAUUUAUAUAUUUAAGAUUAAAAUGUGUGUAGUGGAACAGUGAACGGGGGUGCUUUUAUUGGGCUUAAUUGAGGGGCGAGGCGAGGGAGUUUUGUUUAAAAUAAUAUUACACAAAAUAAUAAUAUUGAAUAAUAUAUUUUUUAAUUUUAAAUUAAUUCAUAUAAUUUUAGAAUGUUUAUCAUUUUAGUAAUAUAUUUGUGAGGGCAACUUCAUCCUUAAAUGGGUGAGGUAUAUAAUUCAUACUCAAUUUGAAAUGUAUGAGUUAUAUUGUUCUUACUACUUAGUUGAAGAAAAAGCUAAAAUAUAUCAAAUUUUACUAUUGUGAAUUAGUGAUAUGGGCCUUUCAGGGUUGAGUGAGUGGUUUGUUGAAUAGUAUAAUUUAACAGAUAUAAAUAAUUAAAGAAUUAAAUUUAAUGAUAAAAAAUUCGAUAGUACCAAAUUCUUAAUGCUAUCGUAUUCCAGCCGGACUCUAUAUAUAUAUUUAUAUAAAAUAUUCUAAAGUUUAGAGAAAAAAAAGAAAAACAAGUGUUAUUCCAUCUUUAUGGAAGUACAUUUUCACCUGUCCCGUAUGAUUCUGCACUGUUUCUAGCUCAGUCCAUAUUUUUUUUUCCAAAAAAAAUAUAAGAACAGCAACAACUUAUGCGAUACCAGUGUGAUAUUCUUUCUAAUAAUAACAUCUAGAGUUCUAAUUUAAUCGAUCAUUGAUUAGCUUAAUAGUUGUUUCCUAAGCUGUCGCCUCAGAUGUCGGAAGAUGAUUCCCGUUUUGUAUUCUUCACAAACAUAGUCUUGUUACUCGAGUUUAGACCAAAUAAAUAACUUCUUCGAGUGAUAUAACCCACCACUCGUCUAGAUUAAAAAUAAAGUUUAAAAAGAAUUUAAAUUUUUUGUGGGCCUAUUUGAGAACGUGCUACAGUUGAGAGGUCCUUGGUACAAAUUUACCAUAAAUUAAUGAACAAAAAGUGGAUAAGAAGAGGAAGCAACGCAUCUUUGCUGGCGUGUUAGGGACUACACUAGUUGACUCAAAAUGAAAAUGGUCUCUUGAAUUAAUUUUACUGUUGAUUCACAUUUCUAGCUAAGUUUAUUUUUUUAAUAAAAUAAAUAAAACGGAUAAAAUGUUACCUAUCUCUCAAAAAAAAACUUCGCCGUUGAGUACCACCUGUUUUCAGCUUCUCUCUCUUAUCGGAUCCGCUGAUUUAUUGGCCCGCAGACCGGCCCCACUUAUAUCAUCCAUUCAAAGGCUUUUUUCUUUUACAUUUAGACCUCUCAAAAUUAUUCCUAAUAAAUUUAUAUUUGUAUAAAUAGCUCUUUUGUUGCCAGCGAGCGCUUAGAUAGCAUUUUUAAGUUGAACUUUUUUUAUUUUUAACAUUCCUAAUUUGAAAUGGAGGUACUAGAAUGCGGAUAUAAACAAGAUGAUUCAAUCGCCGUACUCAAUUUAAAAAUAUCAACAUAAUGCUUGCAUGGCGAAAAGAGGGUUAUAUAUACAAAGGGUAAAUUGCACUGUUAUCCCUUGAAUUUUUGGCGAAGUUUCACUUUACCCCUCGAACUUCUAAAAUGCACAUCUAACCCUCUAAACUCUAAUAUUUCAUUCAUGUUACCCCUUCUGUCAGUUUUCCGUCAAACUCCGUUAACCGGAAACUGACGAAAGGGAUAAAACGAAUGAAAUAUUAGAGUUUAGGGUGUUAGAUAUCUAUUUUAGAAGUUUAGGGGGUUAAGUGAAACUCGCCAAAAGUUCAGAAAGUAGUAGUGCAAUUUACUCCUUAGGGGACUCUUGACUAUAAAUUUUUAUUAUAAUAUGUUACUUAUGGAUUAACUAUUAAUUCUCAAGUUAGUAAUCAUACUUGAUUUUUAAUUUAUAUAUAUUUUUUAUCCUAAAAUAAAUCAUACCAUAAUUUAUCUUACAUUUUAUUGUAAUAAAAUAAAAAUGAAAGAAAUGAAUUAGAGUGGCUUAAAGAUAAAAAAAAAGCGAUACUAACUAUCUACGAUGCUCGAACACUCAACUAUCCUAAUGUACUCACUAAUAUAGUUGAUUUACAAUAGGUGUCCUCACUCGGAUAUAGAAAUUUUAGUUCUCAGUUAAUUUUCUGUAGUACUCGUUUGUCCCUUUUAUCUUUAAAAGUAUUGUUCUAUAAAAUAUAUUUAAAUUAAAAUUUUAUACUUCAUUUCAGCCAAUUAGAAAUUUUUAAUAUAAAAAUAUAAAAAUAAUUUAUAGUAAAAAUUUGGGUAAAUUGUAUUGUUACCCCCUAAACUUUUGGCGAGUUUCACUUAAUCCUCCAGACUCCUAAAAUAGACAUCUAACACCCUAAACUCUAAUAUUUCAUUCGUUUUAUCCCUUCCGUCAAUUUCCGGUUAACGGAGCUUGACGGAAAACUGACGGAAGGGGUGAUAUGAACAGAAUAUUAAAAUUUAGGGGGUUAGAUGUCCAUUUUAGAAGUUUAAGAGGUAAAGUAAAACUUCACCAAAAGUUCAGGGAGUAACAAUACA
RNAcentral lists this long non-coding RNA (40684 nucleotides) under Ananas comosus (pineapple). RNAcentral describes it as "long non-coding RNA (ACOM_LNC006636)". The stretch from base 12712 to 12783 matches the Rfam family "tRNA". The record is from RNAcentral. Lineage: Eukaryota; Viridiplantae; Streptophyta; Magnoliopsida; Poales; Bromeliaceae.